UCUACAUUCUGGACACAGACCAUUCUGUAACCUAGGCAUGUAGGCCAUUCUGUAACCUGAGCACAUAUGUCAUUCUGUAAGGGAGCUACCACUAAGAGCACUGCAGUAAGCACUGUGAUCUGUACAAUGAAAACCGGAAUCUGCUUCAGACUCAUGGCACUCCAACAUGGUGACAGUGGGUUUCUCAAUGAAGAGGAUAUGAAGUUUGCUUAGGAACACAGGAGUAACCAGCUGUGUCAUGGACAGAGACCUUCAAUAGACCAGGGUUCAUCACAGUAUCCUUGCUGACAUCCCUUGCAUCUUGGAAUCCAGAAGCCUCUUACUGCUUACGGAUCCUCUGUCUGAGCAGUCAGUCAUGCUGCCUCCCUCUCCCCAUAUGAAGAUAUACCAUAAAGGCACAAGCGGUCUAGCAUGGCUGCCCUCUGAGAAACCCAACAAGCAGCUGAAAGAGUCAGAUGCAGACACUAGCACCCAACCAAUGGAUAGAAGCCGGGAACCCCUGUGGUGGAAUUGGGGGAAAGCUGGAAGAAGGUGAAGAGGAGGGCAGCCCCAUAGGAAGACUAGCAGUCUCAACUGACUUGGACCCCUGAGAUCUCUCAGACACCAAGCCACCAACCAGGCAGCAUACACCAGCUAAUAUGAGGCUGCUGACACAUCUACAGCAGAGGACUGCCUGGUCUGGCCUCGUGAGAGAAGAUACAACUAACCCUCGAGAGACUUGAGGCCCCAGGGAGUGGGGAGACCUGGUGAAGUGCAGAGGUG
This 762-nucleotide long non-coding RNA is filed under the name Mus spicilegus (steppe mouse). RNAcentral's name for it is "lncRNA (ENSMSIG00000028416.1)". Lineage: Eukaryota; Metazoa; Chordata; Mammalia; Rodentia; Muridae. The record is from RNAcentral.